This 390-nucleotide ribosomal RNA is filed under the name uncultured bacterium. RNAcentral's name for it is "bacterial SSU rRNA". It matches the Rfam family "Bacterial small subunit ribosomal RNA", at positions 29 to 409 of the family's 1533-position model. The record is from RNAcentral.
AACGAACGCUGGCGGCGCGCCUAAUACAUGCAAGUCGAGCGAGAAGACGUAGCAAUACGUUUGUAAAGCGGCGAACGGGUGAGGAAUACAUGGGUAACCUACCCUCGAGUGGGGAAUAACUAGCCGAAAGGUUAGCUAAUACCGCGUACGCUCCUUGGACUUCGGUUCAGGGAGGAAAGCGAUACCGCGGGUAUCGCGCUCUUGGAUGGGCUCAUGUCCUAUCAGCUUGUUGGUGAGGUAACGGCUCACCGAGGCUUCGACGGGUAGCUGGUCUGAGAGGACGAUCGGCCACACUGGGACUGAGAGUACGGCCCAGACUCCUACGGGAGCAGCAGUGAGGAAUAUUGGUCAAUGGACGAAAGUCUGAACCAGCAACGCCGCGUGAGGGAU